RNAcentral lists this transfer RNA (77 nucleotides) under Helianthus annuus (common sunflower). RNAcentral describes it as "tRNA HanXRQr2_Chr14g0654391". It matches the Rfam family "tRNA". Rfam says of the family: Transfer RNA (tRNA) molecules are approximately 80 nucleotides in length. Lineage: Eukaryota; Viridiplantae; Streptophyta; Magnoliopsida; Asterales; Asteraceae. The record is from RNAcentral.
GGUGGUCCUAUGGUCUAGUGGUUAGGACAUUGGACUCUGAAUCCAGUAACCCGAGUUCAAAUCUCGGUAGGACCUUG